GCCAGCAGCCAUAUCACCCUGCAGCUCACUGGAGCUCAGCAGGUGUGAGCCUGGUCAGUACCAGGAUAGGUGACUCCUGGGAAAGCUAAGGCUGCUGCUGGAA
Molecule: ribosomal RNA, 103 nt
Filed under: Lepisosteus oculatus (spotted gar)
Lineage: Eukaryota; Metazoa; Chordata; Actinopteri; Semionotiformes; Lepisosteidae
Source: RNAcentral